This 420-nucleotide ribosomal RNA is filed under the name uncultured bacterium. RNAcentral describes it as "bacterial SSU rRNA". It matches the Rfam family "Bacterial small subunit ribosomal RNA", at positions 356 to 773 of the family's 1533-position model. The record is from RNAcentral.
AGGGAAUAUUGGACAAUGGGCGCAAGCCUGAUCCAGCCAUCCCGCGUGAAGGAUUAAGGCCCUCUGGGUUGUAAACUUCUUUUCUCUGGGAAUAAAAAGUGGGGUUCUCCCUACCUUGAAGGUACCAGAGGAAUAAGCACCGGCUAACUCCGUGCCAGCAGCCGCGGUAAUACGGAGGGUGCAAGCGUUAUCCGGAUUCACUGGGUUUAAAGGGUGCGUAGGUGGCUUUGUAAGUCAGUGGUGAAAGCCCGGAGCUCAACUCCGGAACUGCCAUUGAUACUGCUUAGCUUGAAUCAACUUGAGGUGGAUGGAAUAUUACAUGUAGCGGUGAAAUGCUUAGAUAUGUAAUAGAACACCGAUUGCGAAGGCAGUUCACUAAGGUUGUAUUGACACUGAGGCACGAAAGCGUGGGGAUCAAAC